RNAcentral lists this non-coding RNA (25 nucleotides) under Rattus norvegicus (Norway rat). Lineage: Eukaryota; Metazoa; Chordata; Mammalia; Rodentia; Muridae. The record is from RNAcentral.
UAGAAAAUGGAGUCUCAACACAUAU